GUGGUAGCAAUACUAUGAGUAAAGUGGCGCACGGGUGAGUAACACGUGACUAACCUACCCUUGAGUGGGGGAUAACUGAGGGAAACCUUAGCUAAUACCGCAUAAUACCCACGGGUCAAAGGAGCAAUUCGCUCGAGGAGGGGGUCGCGGCCGAUUAGUUAGUUGGCGGGGUAAUGGCCCACCAAGACGAUGAUCGGUAUCCGGCCUGAGAGGGCGCACGGACACACUGGAACUGAAACACGGUCCAGACUCCUACGGGAGGCAGCAGUGGGGAAUUUUGCGCAAUGGGGGAAACCCUGACGCAGCAACGCCGCGUGGAGGAUGAAGUCCUUCGGGACGUAAACUCCUUUCGAUCGGGACGAUUAUGACGGUACCGGAAGAAGAAGCCCCGGCUAACUUCGUGCCAGCAGCCGCGGUAAUACGAGGGGGGCGAGCGUUGUUCGGAAUUAUUGGGCGUAAAGGGUGCGUAGGCGGUUUGGUAAGUCUUUUGUGAAAUCUCUGGGCUCAACUCAGAGUCUGCAGGAGAAACUGCCGGGCUGGAGUGUGGGAGAGGUGAGUGGAAUUUCCGGUGUAGCGGUGAAAUGCGUAGAUAUCGGAAGGAACACCUGUGGCGAAAGCGGCUCACUGGACCACAACUGACGCUGAUGCACGAAAGCUAGGGGAGCAAACAGGAUUAGAUACCCUGGUAGUCCUAGCCCUAAACGAUGACUGCUUGGUGUGACGGGUACCCAAUCCCGCCGUGCCGUAGCUAACGCGUUAAGCAGUCCGCCUGGGGAGUACGGUCGCAAGGCUGAAACUCAAAGGAAUUGUCG
Molecule: ribosomal RNA, 812 nt
Filed under: uncultured bacterium
Lineage: Bacteria
Description: bacterial SSU rRNA
Rfam family: Bacterial small subunit ribosomal RNA
Source: RNAcentral